RNAcentral lists this ribosomal RNA (253 nucleotides) under uncultured bacterium. Its description in RNAcentral is "partial 16S ribosomal RNA". It matches the Rfam family "Bacterial small subunit ribosomal RNA", at positions 524 to 776 of the family's 1533-position model. The record is from RNAcentral.
UACGAAGGGAGCUAGCGUUGUUCGGAAUCACUGGGCGUAAAGCGCACGUAGGCGGAUUUGUAAGUCAGGGGUGAAAUCCCGGGGCUCAACCUCGGAACUGCCUUUGAUACUGCAAAUCUCGAGUCCGAUAGAGGUGGGUGGAAUUCCUAGUGUAGAGGUGAAAUUCGUAGAUAUUAGGAAGAACACCAGUGGCGAAGGCGGCUCACUGGUCCGGUACUGACGCUGAGGUGCGAAAGCGUGGGGAGCAAACAGG